RNAcentral lists this ribosomal RNA (497 nucleotides) under Cuapetes grandis. RNAcentral's name for it is "partial large subunit ribosomal RNA". It matches the Rfam family "Archaeal large subunit ribosomal RNA", at positions 2004 to 2701 of the family's 2987-position model. The record is from RNAcentral. Lineage: Eukaryota; Metazoa; Arthropoda; Malacostraca; Decapoda; Palaemonidae.
AGGGCCGCGGUAAUUUGACCGUGCGAAGGUAGCACAAUCACUUGCCUUUUAAUUGGGGGCUAGUAUGAACGGCUGGAUGAGGGAUUAAAUGUCUCUAAAUUGUAAUUAAAAUUUUACUUUUAAGUGAAAAGGCUUAAAUUUUAUUAAGUGAAGAUAAGACCCUAUAAAACUUAUACACAAAUAGGCCAUGUUGAAUUUGAUACGUAUAAAAUGAGAUGGUAUAUAUUGUGUUUUGUUGGGGCGACAAAAAUAGAAUUAGUAUCUGUUGUUUUUAAUAAGUUAACGAUGAUUAAAAGAUGAGCCUUUCUUAUGGAUCUAAAGAUUAAGUUACUUUAGGGAUAACAGCGUAAUUUUCUUUGAGAGAUCUAAUCGACAAGAGUAGUUGCGACCUCGAUGUUGAAUUAAAAUUUUCUAUCAAGUGCAGUAGCUUGACUAGUAAGUCUGUUCGACUUUUAAAAUUUUACAUGAUUUGAGUUCAAACCGGUGUGAGCCAGGUU